AUUACUCUUGCCGCCUGCUCUGCUGAUCUUGUAUGGACCUUCCCAGAUGGGAUCCAUCUUUUUGGAGCCUUCUCUGCGGACAGUGAUGAAGGCUUUUCUUAGGACUAGAUGUUCGGGCUGGAAUUGUAGCAUCUUGGCCCUUUUGUUGUGGCUGGAGAGGAACUGCUGCUGGUAGGCUGCAAUGCGGGUGAUAGUCUGCUCGUACUUUUCCUUUGCCUGAUCUAAGCUUGUGGCCAUCUCCUUUCGGUUGCUCGUCUUUUGGUGGUGAGAUAUGCCCAUAGACAUAUAGGGAAUUCAUGUGGCCAUUUUCUUUUCUUGCCGGUGGGGGAUUUCUUGUGGCAGUUGAGGAUCAUCUUGGUGGAUGCUUUGGCCCGUCUAUUGCCUUGAGGAUAUCUUGGUGUAGACAUGUGCUGCUUGAUGCCAUAUUUAUGGUUUAAUGUGUGAUUUAAUGGAUUAAUUAGGCAAUUAAUCCCUUAAUUGGUUAAUCAACACAUUUUUGGAAUAAAUAUUUUGGGGUUAUGUGAUUUAUGUGGAAUAUUUUGUAAGUUGUGGAAUGAUUACCUUGUGGAAAAUAUAGGAUGAGGAUGGAUGAAAUAAUUUUGAGUUUGUUACCUAUUUUGGGCACUUUUGAUUUGGUUGAAAGAGGGUUGCCUGCUGCUCGCGCGUAGGAAUCCCAUUGUACCGUAAGGGUAUUUUUGUCCUUUUGUCCAAAAAUGCAUGUAUCGCCUUGUGAUUAUUUUUUGCUCCACAAGUUUAGAAGAGGUUGGGCUACUCUACCUACUAGUAGUGUAUCACUAGCUCUUUUGUUAGCUAAAAACAACACAACCAUAUCUAUAUGUUCAGAGAUUUUUUUAGUAUAACCAGCACACGAGGUGGUACACCACGUGUCAAUAUACAAAUGGUAAGAUAUGUGUAUUAAAAAGUUAAUAACUUAAAAAAUAAAUUUUCUCACCACUUACAUAAAAACACAUGAUGUAUCAUUUAUGUUCUCAUCACAAUAAAAAAAAAUCUCGUAUAUGUUGUCUCUCACCUUGCAUUUCAAACAUGUACAAUUGUGAGAGUCUUGUCAUAAAAGACUUCCAUAGAAUUUAACAUUAGAACCACGUGGUUGAGGGGAUGAUUAAUGGUUCUGCCCCAUACAUGAAUACGAGUGGUCCUUAUACAGUAUGAGACUUAAGACGAAAACGCAAUGAUGCUUUUCUAAUUUAAUACUUUAGUAUAAUAUUCUUAAUAAAUUAGUGCAAUUAAAAAGCUUUCUACUAACUAUCUCCACAAUAAUAUCUACAAGAAUAAGUGAAACUUUUAGUACGACGAGUUAGUGGGAUUUCUUGUUUUUUUUCCUGGUGCUUCCAAGAUAUGGGGAAUCGUCUCCAUGACUUUUAAUUUUUUUUUUUUCUUUCUGAGAACAACCUUAAUGGACUUUUCAAAGAUAACAGACGCUUUUUGAUUUGAAAAUGCUUGAGACCUAUAAAAUAUACAUCUUUUGUACGUAUUUCUUUCAUAUAAAAAAAACUGCUCAGAUUUAUUAAUUUUAGUGUUCUUUUCCACCUGGUCCAAAAUGUAGGGUGAUCAUAUGUCACAAUUUUGCCACUUUUAUUUUAGCUUAAGGUUUAGGGUUGAAUUGGGAGUUUAAAAAUCAUUAACCAAUUAUUGUUGCUGUCCGUGUUGCCCUAACAACGUGCUUUCGCACGUAGUGUUCUUUAAAAAAUUUAUGCAUGUCAUCUAUCCCUAUCGUACUCCAGCUUGAUAUUUUUAAGAGAAGAGUUUGCUUCUUAAGGUUGAGGAUGAGUUCCUCAUGAACAUACUUCGUGGCCUAUUUACAUAACUUUGUACUUAUAAUAAAAAUCAUUCAUAUUCAAGGUUAAAAAAAUUAUAGGCUCUAGUAGAACGGCGGGUAGGGGCCUAGGCGGGUUUUUUAUUUUAAUUAAAUUUGUUAUAUAACAAUAAAAACAUAUAAAUAAAUGACUAAAAUUGAUUAAUACAUAAAAUAAAAUAUGUAUUCAAAGUUAUUUUACAAGAAAGAAGUUCAAAGUCAAAGAUUAUAAAAUAUAAAAAAUCAAUUAAAACUAAGUCGUUUAAUCAAUUACUUGUAGCAAAUAAAAAGAUAGUUCAUAAUGCUUUUACUAAAUCUGUCCAUCUAUGUUUAUACAAUUCAAUAACUAAAUAAUCUUACUUUUAAUUGAUUUGCAACAUGAAACAUAUCUCAAGAGAACUUUGCUGCAAAUUAUUUGGGGCUUACAUAUUUUGGACAGUCCUCCCAGUUUCUUUCUAGUAUUUUAGAUGAUGAUAAUUAAAGGAGGAUGUGGGCCAACACUUUAAUGGAUAAGGUGUUGAGUUUCUAUUCAUGUAUUGCAGGUUCGAAAUUAUCAUUUUAAAUUAUUAUAAUAGUUUUGAAACCUUCUCCUCCUCUUAUUAUAAUAUAUAUAUAUAUAUAUAUAUAUUUUAAAUGAUGAUAAGACGGGCAAAGCUGAUGUUCGGGCUUGAGUCUGUUAGGGUUUGUUGUUUCUUGUUUGGCUUCGGCCUGCCUAUUACCAAAAAAAAAAUGACUGGGAUUUGACCACUGACGGUCUUGUAGCAUUUUUGUCUAAAACUAAUUUGAAACAUGACUCGUAAUGACUCAUGAUUGUGGCUGCCGAGGAGAUUAUUUGGGUUUUGAUCGUGAUACUCGAUCUCAUCCUAAUUACGUUUUUGGAUGUUCAAACCAAGGAAGAAAAUAUCGGUAAUAUCGGAAAUAUCGGUAGUCCGAAAACACGAAAAUAUCGAUGGAAAUAUCGGGAUAAUAUCGAUAUCGAUAAAAAUUACAUGGAAACUACGGAAAUUGUAAUAAAAACUUGGAAAUUUUUAUUGAAACUUUGCAGGAUGUUUAUUUAGUCAAUUAUCUAUUAGUUUAUCACAAAAAAUUGGAAGGAAAUACAUUGCAUGAUGGAUUUAACAUUAUCAAGUUGAUUAUAUAGCGAGCUGACAAACAUUGUGAGUGUAGAAAAUAUGUAGUAAUUAAUGAAAGAAGUCUAAACACACCAUAAUCAUUUAUAUAUAAUGAAUUAGUACAAUAUUUUACACUUUAGUACCAUAUAGAGUUUCUAUGAGGUUCAAAUUUUUCACUAUCUUCAUCAUCUCUACGUGUAGAAUGAGUGUAUUGUGAAGAGUAGUUAUCAAAUGAUAAAUCCCCAAAAUAGUUUUGCAUGUAAUUGUUAACAUGCCACCCAUAUGGAUCCGAGAUUGGUUGAGGUUGUCCAUAAGAAAAAUCAUUUGAAGAUUGAGUCUGUGAUUGUUUCCAUGAGUCGCUCGAUUCCAUCCCAACAGGAAUGGGAUAUGAAGGGUAGGG
This 3325-nucleotide long non-coding RNA is filed under the name Malus domestica (apple). RNAcentral's name for it is "long non-coding RNA (MDOM_LNC006230)". The record is from RNAcentral. Lineage: Eukaryota; Viridiplantae; Streptophyta; Magnoliopsida; Rosales; Rosaceae.